RNAcentral lists this ribosomal RNA (300 nucleotides) under uncultured bacterium. Its description in RNAcentral is "bacterial SSU rRNA". It matches the Rfam family "Bacterial small subunit ribosomal RNA", at positions 199 to 509 of the family's 1533-position model. The record is from RNAcentral.
GGUCAAAGAUUUAUCGGCAAGGGAUGGGCCGUGCGUCUGAUUAGUUAGUUGGUGGGGUAACGGGCGUCACCCAAGGCAAUGAUCAGUAGCCGACCUGAGAGGGUGGAUCGGCCACAUUGGAACUGAGACACGGUCCAAACUACCUACGGGAGGGCAGCAGUGGGGAAGUAUUGCACAAUGGGCGAAAGACCUGAUGCAGCAACGCCGCGUGAGCGAAGAAGGCGGAAUCGUCGUAAAGCUCUGUCCUUGGGGAAGAAGAACUGACGGUACCCUUGGAGGAAGCCCGGCUAAAUACGUGCC